Molecule: small nuclear RNA, 308 nt
Filed under: Rattus norvegicus (Norway rat)
Lineage: Eukaryota; Metazoa; Chordata; Mammalia; Rodentia; Muridae
Description: 7SK RNA
Rfam family: 7SK RNA
About the family: 7SK was discovered as an abundant small nuclear RNA in the mid-70s but a possible function has only recently been suggested. Two independent studies have found that 7SK RNA binds the CDK9/cyclin T complex (known as elongation factor P-TEFb).
Source: Rfam by way of RNAcentral
GAGCACAAGGGCAAUCUGGCAGCAAUAUCUGUCACCCCAUUGGUCAUCAGAGCUGAUUCAGCUGAUCUGGCUGGCUAGGCAGGGGUCCCCUUUCUCCCUCACCACUCCAUGGGCAUCCUUCCCAGAGCGACUGGCUUGGUGGAAAAGGACGACCUUCCCCAAGAGAGGAAGACUGGUCUUCUGUCAAGGUAUGCAAGUAGCUACGCUUCCCUGACAGAGCUCCAAACCAGCUCUCCAGCUCUCUUGCUAUUGUUCAAAGGGGACAACUGCUCCUUACAUCUUAUACACCUGGACCUUCAGAUAUGUCC